AGAGUUUGAUCCUGGCUCAGGAUGAACGCUGGCGGCGUGCUCAACACAUGCAAGUCGAGCGAUGAAGUUUCCUUCGGGAAACGGAUUAGCGGCGGACGGGUGAGUAACACGUGGGUAACCUGCCUCAUAGAGUGGAAUAGCCUUCCGAAAGGAAGAUUAAUACCGCAUAACGUUGAAAGAUGGCAUCAUCAUUCAACCAAAGGAGCAAUCCGCUAUGAGAUGGACCCGCGGCGCAUUAGCUAGUUGGUGGGGUAACGGCCUACCAAGGCGACGAUCAGUAGCCGGACUGAGAGGUUGAACGGCCACAUUGGGACUGAGAUACGGCCCAGACUCCUACGGGAGGCAGCAGUGGGGAAUAUUGGGCAAUGGGGGAAACCCUGACCCAGCAACGCCGCGUGAAGGAAGAAGGCCUUCGGGUUGUAAACUUCUUUUAGUAGGGACGAAGAACGUGACGGUACCUACAGAAAAAGCAACGGCUAACUACGUGCCAGCAGCCGCGGUAAUACGUAGGUUGCAAGCGUUGUCCGGAAUUACUGGGUGUAAAGGGCGUGUAGGCGGAGCAGCAAGUCAGAUGUGAAAUCCCGGGGCUCAACCCCGGAACUGCAUUUGAAACUGUAGCCCUUGAGUAUCGGAGAGGCAAGCGGAAUUCCUAGUGUAGCGGUGAAAUGCGUAGAUAUUAGGAGGAACACCAGUGGCGAGGGCGGCUUGCUGGACGACAACUGACGCUGAGGCGCGAAAGCGUGGGGAGCAAACAGGAUUAGAUACCCUGGUAGUCCACGCUGUAAACGAUGAAUACUAGGGGUGGGGAGGACUGACCCCCUUCCGGCCCCGGUUAAAACAAUAAUUAUUCCCCUGGGGGAGUCACAACCCAUGGUUGAAACUCAAAGGAAUUGACGGGGGCCCGCACAAGCAGUGGAUUAUGUGGAUUAAUUCGACGCAACGCGAAGAACCUUACCAGGACUUGACAUCCUACUAACGAAGCAGAGAUGCAUUAGGUGCCCUUCGGGGAAAGUAGAGACAGGUGGUGCAUGGUUGUCGUCAGCUCGUGUCGUGAGAUGUUGGGUUAAGUCCCGCAACGAGCGCAACCCCUAUUGUUAGUUGCUACGAAAGAGCACUCUAGCGAGACUGCCGUUGACAAAACGGAGGAAGGCGGGGACGACGUCAAAUCAUCAUGCCCCUUAUGUCCUGGGCUACACACGUAAUACAAUGGCACGUAACAAAGGGAAGCGAGCCUGCGAGGGGGAGCAAAUCUCAAAAAUAACGUCCCAGUUCGGAUUGUAGUCUGCAACUCGACUGCAUGAAGCUGGAAUCGCUAGUAAUCGCGAAUCAGCAUGUCGCGGUGAAUAC
Molecule: ribosomal RNA, 1347 nt
Filed under: uncultured bacterium
Lineage: Bacteria
Description: 16S ribosomal RNA
Rfam family: Bacterial small subunit ribosomal RNA
Source: RNAcentral